UACGUAGGAGGCAAGCGUUGUCCGGAAUUACUGGGCGUAAAGCGCGUGUAGGUGGUGGGACAAGUCUGCUGUGAAAGCGCCUGGCUUAACCGGGCGAGGUCGGCGGAAACUGUCCGACUCGAGGACGGUAGAGGGGGGUGGAAUUCCCGGUGUAGUGGUGAAAUGCGUAGAGAUCGGGAGGAACACCUGUGGCGAAGGCGGCCCCCUGGGCCGGGCCUGACGCUGAGACGCGAGGGCGUGGGGAGCGAACGGG
RNAcentral lists this ribosomal RNA (253 nucleotides) under uncultured bacterium. RNAcentral describes it as "partial 16S ribosomal RNA". It matches the Rfam family "Bacterial small subunit ribosomal RNA", at positions 524 to 776 of the family's 1533-position model. The record is from RNAcentral.